This 564-nucleotide ribosomal RNA is filed under the name Saccharomyces cerevisiae (brewer's yeast). RNAcentral's name for it is "partial large subunit ribosomal RNA". It matches the Rfam family "Eukaryotic large subunit ribosomal RNA", at positions 77 to 656 of the family's 3401-position model. The record is from RNAcentral. Lineage: Eukaryota; Fungi; Ascomycota; Saccharomycetes; Saccharomycetales; Saccharomycetaceae.
GCCUUAGUACGGCGAGUGAAGCGGCAAAAGCUCAAAUUUGAAAUCUGGUACCUUCGGUGCCCGAGUUGUAAUUUGGAGAGGGCAACUUUGGGGCCGUUCCUUGUCUAUGUUCCUUGGAACAGGACGUCAUAGAGGGUGAGAAUCCCGUGUGGCGAGGAGUGCGGUUCUUUGUAAAGUGCCUUCGAAGAGUCGAGUUGUUUGGGAAUGCAGCUCUAAGUGGGUGGUAAAUUCCAUCUAAAGCUAAAUAUUGGCGAGAGACCGAUAGCGAACAAGUACAGUGAUGGAAAGAUGAAAAGAACUUUGAAAAGAGAGUGAAAAAGUACGUGAAAUUGUUGAAAGGGAAGGGCAUUUGAUCAGACAUGGUGUUUUGUGCCCUCUGCUCCUUGUGGGUAGGGGAAUCUCGCAUUUCACUGGGCCAGCAUCAGUUUUGGUGGCAGGAUAAAUCCAUAGGAAUGUAGCUUGCCUCGGUAAGUAUUAUAGCCUGUGGGAAUACUGCCAGCUGGGACUGAGGACUGCGACGUAAGUCAAGGAUGCUGGCAUAAUGGUUAUAUGCCGCCCGUCUUG